This 752-nucleotide unclassified non-coding RNA is filed under the name Tolpis laciniata. Its description in RNAcentral is "partial external transcribed spacer". Lineage: Eukaryota; Viridiplantae; Streptophyta; Magnoliopsida; Asterales; Asteraceae. The record is from RNAcentral.
AUCCCGAUCCCAAGCACCAUGGAGCCGACGAUUUGGAUCAAGACCUACAUCCCAAGCACCAAGGUGCCUGGUUGAUAUGGAUCGCGAUCCCGAUCUGGAGCUCCAGGGCGCCGAGGAUUUCGAUCACGAUCCCGAUCUGAAGCACCGAGUAGCCGAGGAUAUGGAUCAAGACCCCGGUCCGAAGCGACAAGGAGGCAAGGAUUUGGAUCACCACUCCGAUCAAAGGCACCAAGGCGUCGAGGGAUUGGAUCGAGAUCCCGAUCCCAAUCAUGAAGUUGGCUAUGUAAUUUCCUGUUUUCCACACCGUUCAGGGCAUUUUGGUGGUCGUAUCGGCUUUUAGUUGCUUGCUUGGUGUUAGUGCCAAGGGAGGGGUUGGAAGCUAGGUCGUCCUCUGGAAUGCUUGUUGUAAAGGUGUAUGAGUUGUGUUUGGCUUGUUACGGGUGUUUGUUGGCUGCUUGUGCAGGAACUUUCAUGCGUCCAAGCCUCUUCAGUUGUGCUACAAGGCCUUGUUUGUCUUGUGCAUACGGUGGGUUUCCUGUGUUGCAUACCUAAUCAAGGGCAUCGUAUGGCUUAAUCGAAGUAAAUAUUCGUAAUGCGCCGCUUGCGGCGUUGCACGAACCUCGAAGUGGUCCCUGUGGCCCAUGUUGUCUAUGCUCACGUAUGGAUGGCAUGGCCCUCGGAGCGUCGCUUGGUCUCUUGGAUACGGAACCUGAUGAUGUGGGCGGUAGGGUCUUGGAUGAUUCUACCUUCGC